UUGAUUGAUAAAGGGAUGUGCUGGCAAAAUUAUCAUUUUGCAUUGUGCACUCCUGAAAUCUUCAUCCACUUUGUGCACUUUGUAGACAAAAGUCUGCUUCUUGGCUUUUGUCUAUGUUUUUCAAUACACCUUUAUCAGUUAUUUAAUGUUAAUGUGACUUGAUAGUCAAAAUUUUAAUA
Molecule: unclassified non-coding RNA, 179 nt
Filed under: uncultured Agaricales
Lineage: Eukaryota; Fungi; Basidiomycota; Agaricomycetes; Agaricales
Description: sequence contains ITS1
Source: RNAcentral